UACGUAGGGGGCAAGCGUUGUCCGGAAUCAUUGGGCGUAAAGAGCGCGUAGGCGGUCCGAUAAGUCGGUUGUGAAAGUCGGGGGCUCAACCCUCGGAGGCCGACCGAUACUGCCGGGCUAGAGUCCGGAAGAGGCGAGUGGAAUUCCUGGUGUAGCGGUGAAAUGCGCAGAUAUCAGGAGGAACACCAAUGGCGAAGGCAGCUCGCUGGGACGGUACUGACGCUGAGGAGCGAAAGCGUGGGGAGCGAACAGG
This 253-nucleotide ribosomal RNA is filed under the name uncultured bacterium. Its description in RNAcentral is "partial 16S ribosomal RNA". It matches the Rfam family "Bacterial small subunit ribosomal RNA", at positions 524 to 776 of the family's 1533-position model. The record is from RNAcentral.